Monodelphis domestica (gray short-tailed opossum) is the source of this 1033-nucleotide non-coding RNA. Lineage: Eukaryota; Metazoa; Chordata; Mammalia; Didelphimorphia; Didelphidae. The record is from RefSeq and is a predicted model, not a curated record.
CUCCAGAACAUUGCAGUGUGCAGUUCCUCAGGGCACAAGGCUACAAAACACAUUCUAUCUCUAGCUCUAUAUCCAUAUAGACUGAGAGAUGGCCAAGGGGACCGACAGACAGGAGGACUGACAGACAGAGAGCUUCGUCAAAGGCUUCAUGAUUUCUUUCCUAACUUCUUCUGAUUCGACUUUGAGACAACCCAGCACUCUGGAAUCUUUGCUGCAACUUCUCCAAUUAACUGAUGUUCCUUUCCAUCCUCUUAACAAGGUUUCCACCCAAACAUAUCGGAAUAAGUGGUUGCAGGCAAGCAAAGCAUAUGAUGGUGCCCCUGUGGUUUUCAGAUGGCUCAGCAGAUGUAUUUGGUUCAAGAUUGGAGGGGGAGUGGCAGACAUACAGUUUGGCCAGUGAGGUGAGUGGCUGUGGCAGACUGCAUGAUGGGUCGAAACCCUUCUUCUCAGACUCUUCCAUGAGAUGCUGGAAGUCUUGAAUAGGAAAGCAAGGAAUCAGGAUCUCAGAGGCUAAGUUCUGCGCCUUAUUUACAGGAAUCAUAACCUGUUGUCCUGACUUUUCCCAAAAAGGAGCAUUUACUAAACAACAAUGGCAUUUCUUCGGGCAGGCUAUGAAACAAAGUGAGGCAAAAGGAUACAGAAUGUUACCGCCUUUGGGAUCCCAUGCAAUCUAGUGAAGAUACUGCACAAACUGUGGAGAGUUCAGCGGUUCCUCAGCUGCAGCCCACACCUUUCUCUGCUUCUACUAACUCUUCUUGCCCCUUUUAAUGAGAUGGCCAAAGAGAAACACCCCUUCCUUAAUGCUGCAGAUGCCAAGAACCAGCCCCAUGGCCUGGGACAAACCUCCUGCCCAAACCCCUUGUUUCUGGGUCCUGUCCUCACUGCUGUCAAAUGAUAGCUAAACCCCAGCAUGGAGGCAUGCUGUGUUGCUGUCCUCCCAAGGAACAGCUUUUGCACCCAUGCUCUUCCACCUCAGCUGCCUCUUUACCAAAUUCAACAUGACAUUCCAAAUCAAUAAAAUGUCACUUUUAUU